UUUCCCUCAGGAUAGCGGCCCGACGAAAUGUUGUCCUGUGUGGUAGAGCGAAUGAUUAGCGUUUUCGGGGGAAUUUAUUUCUUCGUGCGAUUCUCAAACUUCUAAUGCGCAGGAUGAUGUUGCUGUUUUGUUUAAGCAGUGUCGUUAGAAACGUCGGGUUCGUGGGCCACUUUUGGUAAGCAGAACUGGCGAUACGGGAUGAACCGUAAGUGUGGUUAAGGCGCCCAAUUGACCGCUCAUAGGUCCCACAAAAGGUGUUGAUUCAUCGAGACAGCAGGACGGUGGCCAUGGAAGUCGGAAUCCGCUAAGGAGUGUGUAACAACUCACCUGCCGAAUGAAUUAGCCCUGAAAAUGGAUGGCACUAAAGCGGUCAGCCGACACCAUACCAUCCAGCCAAAAGUGGAGCUGAGAUGAGUAGGAGGGCAUCCCGGUUGUAUCGAAGCGUAGGGGCAACCUUGCGUGGAACGGCCGGAAGUGCAGAUCUUGGUGGUAGUAGCAAAUAUUCAUGUGUGAUCCUUGAAGGGCGAUGUGGGGAAGGGUUCCACGCGAACAUUGAUUGAGCGUGGGUGAGUCGUUCCUAAGUCGGGCGUUUAUUGUGCAAAAACCGGCGAAAGGGAAGCAGGUUGACAUUCCUGCACACGGAUGUGGAGGCGGUGACGCCCCUACUGGCAAAGUGACGUUGGCGGUGGCCCUGGGCAGAGUUGUCUUUUCUGUUUAACCGUCCGGUAUGCUCUGUGGAAUCCGCUUGUCGGGAGAAACAGGCAUUCUUGAGCAAAGCGCCGGGGUAUUACCGGCGUCCAGAUCGCCACCGACAGCCCUUGAAAAACUUUGUGCUGGGCAGAGUCAUUCGGCUCUGUUUGGGAAUUCCACGCCGUAACGUACCUAUAACCGCAUUAGGUCCCCAAGGUGAACAGCCUCUGCUCAAUAUGGUUAAUGCAGGUAAGGGAAGUCGGCAAAUUAGACCCGUAACUUUGGGAAAAGGGUUGGCUCUAGUGCUGUCUGGGUUUGAAGGUCCUGUGAAAUCUCUUUUUCAGACUCUCAUUAGCAUGAAAUGGGUUGGGUUUGUGAUCAGUGUACUUUUUGUGCGCUUCGUAUCCGACCUUUCCUUUUUCUAUUGUUGGUGGUAGUCAAGGUUCGACUGCUCAGGAUAUACAGCAAACUAGAAUUGCAGCGGGCAAAGGGAAUCCGACUGUUUAAUUAAAACAAAGCAUUGCGAGGGCCGUGACUGGUGUUGACGCAAUGUGAUUUCUGCCCAGUGCUCUGAAUCACUAGUGCGGCCGCCUGCAG
Molecule: ribosomal RNA, 1287 nt
Filed under: Seirospora interrupta
Lineage: Eukaryota; Rhodophyta; Florideophyceae; Ceramiales; Callithamniaceae
Description: eukaryotic LSU rRNA
Rfam family: Eukaryotic large subunit ribosomal RNA
Source: RNAcentral